GUGGAUGUAGCUCAGCUGGCAGAGCCCCUGGUUGUGGUCCAGGUGGUCGUGGGUUCGAAUCCCAUCAUCCACCCCA
Molecule: transfer RNA, 76 nt
Filed under: bacterium
Lineage: Bacteria
Also listed under: 2 other names
Description: tRNA-His
Rfam family: tRNA
About the family: Transfer RNA (tRNA) molecules are approximately 80 nucleotides in length. Their secondary structure includes four short double-helical elements and three loops (D, anti-codon, and T loops).
Source: RNAcentral